CCCACCACCAUCCCGCGCCGCAUUCGUUGUUCGCACAGCACUCGGCUCCGCACGACCACCAAAUCCCUCCCCUCUCCUGGCUUCGAUGCCACCAACCACCCUCCCCUCCCCUCUGCGGUCCCACCCUAUCGCCGUCCCUUUCUAUUCCCUCCCCCAACCCCUGCGAAUCCGAACUCCCACGAUUUGUGUGAGCACCGACGACCACCCCUCUCCUCUCCCAGCUCUGAUGCCA
RNAcentral lists this long non-coding RNA (232 nucleotides) under Elaeis guineensis (African oil palm). RNAcentral's name for it is "long non-coding RNA (EGUI_LNC044637)". Lineage: Eukaryota; Viridiplantae; Streptophyta; Magnoliopsida; Arecales; Arecaceae. The record is from RNAcentral.